Molecule: long non-coding RNA, 611 nt
Organism: Acanthopagrus latus (yellowfin seabream)
Lineage: Eukaryota; Metazoa; Chordata; Actinopteri; Spariformes; Sparidae
Exons: 3
Source: RefSeq, a predicted model, not a curated record
GGCGUCAUCGUUUCGGGGAGUAUGCGGAUUCGCCGUCCACAUGAGAAUGGGAGGGCUGCAUUUUCGGAGUUUUCCACCCUGAGACCCGUUUUCAAAAAAGUGUGUUUUCAGGAUCCGUGUGGACGGUCGGCCAGAACGAUGCAAUACAUGUGUGUUUUCGUGUGGACUCCAGUGGACCCAGAAGGAGAGGCUCCUGAAGAAGUACGGACUCUGGCUGCAGCAGGACGUUUCAGAAUGAUCACUGUGUGUGUCGAUGGAGCUGGGAGGGAUGGUGUCUGAGGCCGCGGUGGGUGGCGGUGGUGGAGGACGACCGUGGAGGAUGGUUUCAUUCUCAUCUUGCAAGGACAGGCUCAGGUAUUCUCCUUUAUUAUUAAAGCACACGUUGGAUCAGGCCACUUCUUCUGCAAGCUGCCCAUACAACAAGAGAAAGGCAUUAGGGGAUGCAGUCUAAAGACCAGACAUUAUGUUCUCCUGGCGAUGGUUUUCCUAUGGCUGGUUUUGUAGAAUUUCUUUUUAUUGUCUCUCUGCUGCUCCUCACCCUCAUGUCCGCUCUUGUUUGCAGUGGCCUCUUAUUUACAGAGAGUCCACACGUCGAAGUCGGGCUUAAGAAA